GAUGAACGCUGGCGGCGUGCUUAACACAUGCAAGUCGAACGGAAAGGCCCAAGCUUGCUUGGGUACUCGAGUGGCGAACGGGUGAGUAACACGUGGGUGAUCUGCCCUGCACUUCGGGAUAAGCCUGGGAAACUGGGUCUAAUACCGGAUAGGACCACAUUUUGGAUGGUGUGGUGGAAAGUUUUUCGGUGUGGGAUGAGCUCGCGGCCUAUCAGCUUGUUGGUGGGGUAAUGGCCUACCAAGGCGUCGACGGGGAGCCGGCCUGAGAGGGUGUACGGCCACAUUGGGACGGAGAUACGGCCCAGACUCCUACGGGAGGCAGAAGUGGGGAAUAUUGCACAAUGGGCGCAAGCCUGAGGCAGCGAAGCGGCGUGGGGGAUGACGGCCUUCGGGUUGUAAACUCCUUUCGCUAGGGACGAAGCGUUUUUGUGACGGUACCUGGAGAAGAAGCACCGGCUAACUACGUG
RNAcentral lists this ribosomal RNA (467 nucleotides) under uncultured bacterium. RNAcentral's name for it is "partial 16S ribosomal RNA". It matches the Rfam family "Bacterial small subunit ribosomal RNA", at positions 28 to 507 of the family's 1533-position model. The record is from RNAcentral.